Molecule: ribosomal RNA, 803 nt
Filed under: Psora decipiens
Lineage: Eukaryota; Fungi; Ascomycota; Lecanoromycetes; Lecanorales; Psoraceae
Description: LSU rRNA
Rfam family: Eukaryotic large subunit ribosomal RNA
Source: RNAcentral
AUCUGACCCUUUGGGGUCCGAGUUGUAAUUUGCAGAGGGUGUUUCGGGCACGGUGCCGGUUUAAGUCCUUUGGAACAGGGUGUCAUAGAGGGUGAGAACCCCGUAUGUGACCGGUCGCCAAACCCAUGUGAAACCCCUUCGACGAGUCGAGUUGUUUGGGAAUGCAGCUCAAAAUGGGUGGUAAAUUUCAUCUAAAGCUAAAUAUUGGCCAGAGACCGAUAGCGCACAAGUAGAGUGAUCGAAAGAUGAAAAGCACUUUGGAAAGAGAGUCAAACAGCACGUGAAAUUGUUGAAAGGGAAGCGCUUGCGACCAGACUUGCUCGCGGGUGAUCAGCGGUGCUUUUCGCGCCGUGCACUCAUCCGCGAUCAGGCCAGCAUCGGUUCAGGCGGCCGGACAAAGACUCGGAGAAUGUGGCUCCCUCCGGGGAGUGUUAUAUCUCCUUGUGCAAUACGACCAGCCGGGACCGAGGACCGCGCUUCGGCUAGGAUGCUGGCGUAAUGGUCGUAAGCGACCCGUCUUGAAACACGGACCAAGGAGUCUAACAUCUGUGCGAGUGUUUGGGCGUUAAACCCAUGCGCGCAAUGAAAGUGAACGUGAGGUGGGAACCCUUUCGGGGGCGCACCAUCGACCGAUCCAGAUGUCUUCGGAUGGAUUUGAGUAAGAGCACAGCUGUUGGGACCCGAAAGAUGGUGAACUAUGCCUGAAUAGGGUGAAGCCAGAGGAAACUCUGGUGGAGGCUCGCAGCGGUUCUGACGUGCAAAUCGAUCGUCAAAUUUGGGUAUAGGGGCGAAAGACUAAUCGA